UUGUACUAAUUGUAUGUUCUUUCAGAAG
RNAcentral lists this non-coding RNA (28 nucleotides) under Cricetulus griseus (Chinese hamster). The record is from RNAcentral. Lineage: Eukaryota; Metazoa; Chordata; Mammalia; Rodentia; Cricetidae.